This 135-nucleotide small nuclear RNA is filed under the name Procavia capensis (Cape rock hyrax). The record is from RNAcentral. Lineage: Eukaryota; Metazoa; Chordata; Mammalia; Hyracoidea; Procaviidae.
ACCUCUCCCUUCAUAUUGUUACCAGAGACAAUCUAAGUGAGGCAAUUUAAGUAAUUGGAACCACACAGAAAAAAUCAGCAUGGUCCUGUGCAAGGAUGACAUACAAGUCAUCCUUGUUAAGUGGUCCAUAAUUUU